CACGUAGGGACCAAGCGUUGUCCGGAUUCAUUGGGCGUAAAGAGCUCGUAGGCGGUUCAGUAAGUCGGGUGUGAAACCUCCAGGCUCAACCUGGAGACGCCACCCGAUACUGCUGUGACUAGAGUCCAGUAGGGGAGCGUGGAAUUCCUGGUGUAGCGGUGAAAUGCGCAGAUAUCAGGAGGAACACCAGCGGCGAAGGCGGCGCGCUGGGCUGGAACUGACGCUGAGGCGCGAAAGCCAGGGGAGCAAACGGG
Molecule: ribosomal RNA, 254 nt
Filed under: uncultured bacterium
Lineage: Bacteria
Description: partial 16S ribosomal RNA
Rfam family: Bacterial small subunit ribosomal RNA
Source: RNAcentral